AUACUUACCUGGCAGGAGAGAUACCGUGAUCAGGAAGGUGGUUUUUCACAAGGCAAGGCUUAUCCAUUGCACUCUAGAUGUGUUGACCCCUGCAAUUUCCCCAAAUGAGAGAAACACAACUGCAUAAUUUGUGGUAGUGCAUUCAGGCUCU
Neotoma lepida (desert woodrat) is the source of this 151-nucleotide small nuclear RNA. It matches the Rfam family "U1 spliceosomal RNA". From Rfam's summary of the family: U1 is a small nuclear RNA (snRNA) component of the spliceosome (involved in pre-mRNA splicing). Its 5' end forms complementary base pairs with the 5' splice junction, thus defining the 5' donor site of an intron. There are significant differences in sequence and secondary structure between metazoan and yeast U1 snRNAs, the latter being much longer (568 nucleotides as compared to 164 nucleotides in human). NCBI's taxonomy places the organism in Eukaryota, Metazoa, Chordata, Mammalia, Rodentia, Cricetidae. The record is from Rfam.